GCUCGCGCCGCCGGGUUACGACUUUCCUCGCUAACGUCUUUGCAGAGGCUGGCGAGCCGCCAGGGGGACGGCGCGCGCUGGCAGACGGCGCCACAUCAAUAUCCCAACUAGCCACCAGAGCCCGACUCAAACGGUCGGGGACUUUAAAGGUAGCAGCUGGAGGACCUCUCUUGCCAAAGCACCACCUACCACAGCCGGCUACAAGUCCAUUAACGGAGGCCGUCUCCGCCCGGCCUCCAGUCGCCUGUGGGAGCGACUCGGGCUGUUACAUGAAAGAGGAGAGUAAUUUGGUUCACUACACAAAAGUGGACGUGCCUGGACAAUGUGAUAUUAAAAUGUCUUUGUGAUGGAAA
Molecule: long non-coding RNA, 353 nt
Organism: Betta splendens (Siamese fighting fish)
Lineage: Eukaryota; Metazoa; Chordata; Actinopteri; Anabantiformes; Osphronemidae
Exons: 2
Source: RefSeq, a predicted model, not a curated record